RNAcentral lists this transfer RNA (61 nucleotides) under Symphylella sp. YG-2006. RNAcentral's name for it is "tRNA-Cys". The record is from RNAcentral. Lineage: Eukaryota; Metazoa; Arthropoda; Symphyla; Scolopendrellidae.
AUAUAGUUUGUUUAUUGAAUAUUAAGUUGCAAAUUUAAAGGAAUAUAGAUCUAAUUUUUUU